This 483-nucleotide ribosomal RNA is filed under the name uncultured bacterium. RNAcentral describes it as "partial 16S ribosomal RNA". It matches the Rfam family "Bacterial small subunit ribosomal RNA", at positions 28 to 523 of the family's 1533-position model. The record is from RNAcentral.
GACGAACGCUGGCGGCGUGCCUAACACAUGCAAGUCGAACGAGGUCCAGGGGAGCUUGCUCCCUGACGACCUAGUGGCGAACGGGUGAGUAACACGUGAGAAACCUGCCUCGGAGUGGGGAAUAACUCGGGGAAACUCGAGCUAAUACCGCAUACCUUCACAUGAUCGCAUGGUCGAGUGAAGAAAGAAUUUCGCUCUGAGAGGGUCUCGCGGCCUAUCAGCUUGUUGGUGGGGUAACGGCCUACCAAGGCAACGACGGGUAGCUGGUUUGAGAGGACGAGCAGACACACUGGGACUGAGACACGGCGCAGACGCCGGCGGGAGGCAGACGUGGGGAAUCUUGCGCAAUGGGCGAAGGCCUGACGCAGCAACGCCGCGUGCGGGAUGACGGCCUUCGUGGUUGUAAACCGCUUUCAGCAGGGACGAAAAUGACGGUACCUGCAGAAGAAGCCCCGGCUAACUACGUGCCAGCAGCCGCGGUAA